Phrynosoma platyrhinos (Desert horned lizard) is the source of this 72-nucleotide non-coding RNA. NCBI's taxonomy places the organism in Eukaryota, Metazoa, Chordata, Lepidosauria, Squamata, Phrynosomatidae. The record is from the annotation of a GenBank genome assembly.
GCCAGUGUGGCAUAGCUGUUUGAGCACUGGACUAUGACUCUGGAGACCAGGGUUUGAAUCCCAGCUUAUCCA